GCGAGGUUAGUAUAGUGGUAAUACGCCUGCUUCCCAAGCAGGAGCCACGAGUCCGAUUCUCGUACCUCGCU
This 71-nucleotide transfer RNA is filed under the name Candidatus Woesebacteria bacterium. RNAcentral describes it as "tRNA-Gly". It matches the Rfam family "tRNA". Rfam says of the family: Transfer RNA (tRNA) molecules are approximately 80 nucleotides in length. The record is from RNAcentral. RNAcentral also lists the same sequence under 2 other names. Lineage: Bacteria; Candidatus Woeseibacteriota.